GGGGAAUUGUUCGCAAUGGGCGCAAGCCUGACGACGCAACGCCGCGUGGAGGACGAAGAUCUUCGGGUCGUAAACUCCUGUCGAGCGGGACGAACACCCAUCCGGUGAAUAUCCGGGAGGGCUGACGGUACCGCUAAAGGAAGCCCCGGCUACCUCCGUGCCAGCAGCCGCGGUAAUACGUAGGGGGCAAGCGUUGUCCGGAUUUAUUGGGCGUAAAGAGCGUGUAGGCGGCUUCACAGGUCCGCUGUGAAAACUCGAGGCUCAACCUCGAGCUGUCGGUGGAAACCGUGUGGCUAGAGUCCGGAAGAGGAGAGUGGAAUUCCCGGUGUAGCGGUGAAAUGCGCAGAUAUCGGGAAGAACACCCGUGGCUAAGGCGGCUCUCUAGUACGGUACUGACGCUGAGACGCGAAAGCGUGGGGAGCGAAC
RNAcentral lists this ribosomal RNA (426 nucleotides) under uncultured bacterium. RNAcentral describes it as "bacterial SSU rRNA". It matches the Rfam family "Bacterial small subunit ribosomal RNA", at positions 356 to 773 of the family's 1533-position model. The record is from RNAcentral.